This 508-nucleotide ribosomal RNA is filed under the name uncultured bacterium. Its description in RNAcentral is "bacterial SSU rRNA". It matches the Rfam family "Bacterial small subunit ribosomal RNA", at positions 10 to 507 of the family's 1533-position model. The record is from RNAcentral.
AGUUUGAUCCUGGCUCAGAGUGAACGCUGGCGGCAGGCCUAAUACAUGCAAGUCGAGCGGCAGCACAGCAGAGCUUGCUCUGUGGGUGGCGAGUGGCGGACGGGUGAGGAAUACAUGGGAAUCUGCCCAGUCGUGGGGGAUAACGUAGGGAAACUUACGCUAAUACCGCAUGCGCCCUUCGGGGGAAAGCCGGGGACCUUCGGGCCUGGCGCGAUUGGAUGAGCCCAUGUCGGAUUAGCUAGUUGGCGGGGUAAUGGCCCACCAAGGCGACGAUCCGUAGCUGGUCUGAGAGGAUGAUCAGCCACACUGGAACUGAGACACGGUCCAGACUCCUACGGGAGGCAGCAGUAGGGAAUAUUGGACAAUGGGCGCAAGCCUGAUCCAGCCAUGCCGCGUGAGUGAAGAAGGCCCUCGGGUUGUAAAGCUCUUUUGUCCGGAAAGAAAAGCGCCGGGUUAAUACCCUGGUGUCCUGACGGUACCGGAAGAAUAAGCACCGGCUAACUUCGUG